Long non-coding RNA from Polypterus senegalus (gray bichir), 4180 nucleotides. RefSeq lists it as uncharacterized. The record is from RefSeq and is a predicted model, not a curated record. The transcript is spliced from 3 exons. NCBI's taxonomy places the organism in Eukaryota, Metazoa, Chordata, Cladistia, Polypteriformes, Polypteridae.
AGUGUACAAAGGAUCAAAUGUAUUUUGUGACGCCAUGGUGUGGAAGGCAGCCACUCAAGCAAAUUCUCCAACUGCUAUGGCCAGGACCCUUUUGCUUGGGGUAUUUGAUAUGGCUACUCUGUUGAGAAGUAACCUUAGAGGUGGCAAAAGUAAAAGAGCGAAUUAUGCAGACCAAAAAGAAGGAUUAGAUCCUGCAAAGCUUGAUGCAAUUUACAAUGCUACAAUGGAAAAAUUCCCCAAUGCCAAAAGGGGACAAAUUGGUGUUGGGAUUAACUCAAAGCUAUCAGAAAUCAGAUUUAGAUACAGACGCGCCAAGCAAGAUAAAGGAUGUGAUAUUUUUUGUUGACAUAAGCACAAAUGAAACAAUUUUGAACUUAUGUCACAGAAGUAAACUGCUGAAGAGCAAAAUAUUCCAUGGCACCAGAAGAGCAAGGAGCUGUCCAUGAAAGUCUGUACUGCAAAUGGAGCAAACCAAGCAACAGUCUAAUUGGCCCUGUGCAAAGUGAUCUAUACUCUAAACUCUGGCUGUAUAUUUUUUUUUUAUUAUUUGAAGCAUUAAAUAAAAUUAUUAGAGCAUGACACUUCUUCCAAAACAUUAUGUUGCAGGCUUUCUUUUAAGGGUAAUAUUCUAAAUGGACCGAUGUAAAAAGUUUUAGAAAUGCUUCUACUGUACAUAUCCACUGUGAGGUAACAUUAUUGGUUAUCAGGGGAAGGUUUUAUGGAAUAUAAUGAAAAGUAAUAAUACUGCAAAUUUGUUUGAAAACUUUAUAAUAUAUAUCAAUGUGAUUCAUUUUAUACCAUGGGCCUGCUGGUUUUUUAAGGCAGCACUUGCUGCACAGCUCCAGUGUCCUGGGUUUGAAUUUCAGUUCAGCCUUAGUCCAGCAUGCUAUUUAUACAUUUUCUGGUAACACUUCAGGUACUAUACAAAUUCAUGUAUUACUCAUUACCCUUUAUGGAUCAAUACCUUAAUACAGGCUUCUUUUGGUCUUGAUGACACUUAUAAAACAUCAGUAGAUGGGUUAUUCAACUCCGUACCAUGUGGCAUAAAUUCCUUGUUAAUAUGAAGGGCUCACAGGUCAUUUACUAAAUAACACAAGAGGAGUGUGUCUCUGUUAAGCAACCUCAGACCACUCCAACAUGAAGUUUUAUUAGUAAAUCCCAUUGCCAGGAUGAAUUAACGCUCUACUGAUGCUUUGUAAGUGUUAAAAAAGCCCUAAAGAAGUGUAUGUUAAGGUCUUGUUACAUAAUAAUUAAAGAGUAAAAGGUGCGUUUUUGAAGUACCUAAACUAAAGUGUUACCCAUUUUCCUAGUAUUCUGGGUUUCAACCACAUCCCAAAGGCGUACAUCCAUCCAUCCAUCCAUUUUCUAACCCGCUGAAUCCGAAUACAGGGUCACGGGGGUCUGCUGGAGCCAAUCCCAGCCAACACAGGGCACAAGGCAGGAACCAAUCCUGGGCAAUCCUCUUCAGGUUCCUUGGCAUUUACAUCAGUGAAGUUUUUAUCUGGUCUCUCAGAACCAACCGCUGGCUAAGAAAUGCCAACUGUAUCUAUAGAAAUUUGAUAUGUCAGCAAUAAUCCUUAGCAAUUUUUAUAGGUGUGAUAUAGAGAGCAUCCUGACCGGUGCUGUUACAGUCUGGUUUGAGAAUUGCUUUUUGUAGGCUCACAAAACUUUGCAGUGGGUGGUGAGAACCAUCUCUGGCUAAGAUCUAUUACAGUAGGGUUAUCAGGAGGGCCAGCAAUAUCAUGAAUUAGAUUAGGUAUCCACAACGCAGUUCAUUUGUACUUUUGCCACCAUGCAGAUGUUAUAGGAGCAUAAAACUCAGGACAACGAGAGUACAGAUUUAAUUAAUUGGUGACUACAUUUACCCGAUGUGCUUGGGUACCCAAGUGUGUCUUGUAAUGUACAGAAGCCUUCUACAUGCUUGGCACCACCAAAGGCUCAAGCUCUCUGCAACACUCUGCAGGAAUAGCAAAGUUGGGGAAAACAAUGUAAUGUAUUAUUCUAAAAACAUUCAAUCUCAGUCUGAAAUAAUCAAACAUUUUUCAGAAUAUUGAAAAAAAACAUUCUCAGAUCUGCUUAAUCCAGAUCAGCAUUACAAAGGGCCACAAAGCAGGUGGCAUUUCUGGACAAGACACCAGGAUCCUGUCUCACCUCACAUCACAGGGCCUGAAUGCAAUGUGUCUUUUUCAAAAUGUCUGAAAACUGUGAAACUGAAUUCUACUUUUAUUCAAGUGUCUGUGUUGGUUAUAUUUUCAAAACUCCUUUUGUUUUUGUAAUUGCCAUAUCACUAAAGUGUGCAAUGCUGUGAACAUGUCCGCAAGUUUUAUGACAGAUUAAUUAAUGACGUUGUAAACAGUAAGGGCAUCAAGUGGCUCUGCCCCCUUGAAUGAGUGCCAACUCCCCUGAGAGGUAUUUGACCGUAAUUAAAUAUAAUUUACACAUUAUCUGUAGAAACUUCAAAUGGGAAAAUUGAACGAAUGAAAAGGCAAACACUAAAUCCUAGGUUUGGGAUGCCAUUCCUUCAUGAAGUAAAGAAGCUCACUGAUGGUUUUACAGCACAUUUUGCUGUUUGAUUUUAAAGGGACUUUUAUAACACUCAGAGACAUCCUAGUACUCUUCAUACUUCAAGAAUGUCCUGACAUUAAAUCUUUAAACUGGGCAGCUACUCUGAUUUUUACAGAGGCACACUGCUUGGAACGUGGUGAUAUGAUCAAAUGUGCUGAAAAUUGCAAUUCUGACACCAUCUGUAUGCUUGGCUUCAGAAGAGGAAUGCAUGCAAAAGAAUCUCAUAUUCAUUGGAAAUACUACAGUAGAUCAUGGACAUCAUGGGUCUGUAUUUCUGCCUCUGGAGCUGGAGCCCAUGUUAAAAUCAGCGGCACUGGAAAUGCUACUAAAUUUCACAAUGUUCCAGAAAGAAAUGUGUCUGCUUCUGCCAGAAAGGUUUGGCUUGAUUAUAGUUGGAGUUUUUCUGUGACAAGAAGAAGUACAAACACACCUCAUAGCACAGCUGAGUGAACAUUUACUAUGACCAUCUUGGUCUCAAGACUUUAAUUGAAAGCCUGUAGCCUGAUGUGAAGCAUGCAGUCCAUAAAUGUAGACCCUUCUGUCCAUCAGAAAAGUUGUGGCUAGUCCAAAAUCCCUUUCAGGGUGUUCCUCAAACACAUUCAAGAACUUUGUGCUAUGUAGGCCUAUGUAAGAAGGUCAGGGCUGCGGUUAACAGUGUCGUGGACCCUUUCCUGGAAUGGCUAUCAGUGAUAACAUCUGUCAGGGAUGCUAACAUAAUAAAUGGCCAGUCUAAUGAAGGUAAGUAUUCCAGAGAUGAUGGAAAGCCUCCUCAUUAAGACUAUCGGACAUAUCAUAGGUAAGGAUUCGGGAUUGCAGUGACAUAUGGGGCCACUUGCAGAGAGGUCUUUGUGGAGGGGUCCAGGAGUUUUCAGACUCCAUAGGUUGUACCAGCUGAAGGUUCAAAAGCUUCUACUGGACUCCAGAAAAUGUUAUCAAAGAGAUGGGGAUUCUGCAGGGCUGAAUACUAAGUCUUAGGCUCUGUACUCUUUUUUUUUUAAGUUAUGACUGUGUUGCUAACCAGGAAAACACCAGUAUCAUCAAAUUUGCUGGUGAUAUCACAGACAUUGGUGGUAUAAUUAUUUGGAUGGAUCUGGUGGCACGGUGCCAGGUCAUCAGUCUCUUACUCAAGGUCAGUAAGACAAAGGAGAUGAUUCUAGAAAUAUGGAAGAGGAGGGAACAGCACAAAGCACUGCACAUUGGUGAGACAGAGUUAACAUCUUCAGGUUCCUUGGCAUUUACAUCAGUGAGGUUUUUAUCUGGUCUCUCAGAACCAACCGCUGGCUAAGAAAUGCCAACAGUAUCUAUAGAAAUUCGAUAUGUCAGCAAUAAUCCUUAGCAAUUUUUAUAGGUGUGAUAUAGAGAGCAUCCUGACCGGUGCUGUUACAGUCUGGUUUGGGAAUUGCUUUUUGUAGGCUCACAAAACUUUGCAGUGGGUGGUGAGAACCAUCUCUGGCUAACAUCUAUUACAGUAGGGUUAUCAGGAGAGCCAGCAAUAUCAUGAAGGGGAUUAGGUAUCCACAACGCAGUUCAUUUGUACUUUUGCCACCAUGCAGAUGUUAUAGGAGCAUAAAACUCAGGACAACGAGAGUUCAGGACAAUUUCUACCCAAAAGCCA